Molecule: ribosomal RNA, 253 nt
Filed under: uncultured bacterium
Lineage: Bacteria
Description: partial 16S ribosomal RNA
Rfam family: Bacterial small subunit ribosomal RNA
Source: RNAcentral
UACGUAGGGAGCAAGCGUUGUUCGGAUUUACUGGGCGUAAAGGGCGCGUAGGCGGCCUUCUAAGUCAGACGUGAAAUCCCCCGGCUUAACCUGGGAACUGCGUCUGAUACUGGAAGGCUUGAGUGCGGGAGAGGGAUGUGGAAUUCCAGGUGUAGCGGUGAAAUGCGUAGAUAUCUGGAGGAACACCGGUGGCGAAGGCGGCAUCCUGGACCGACACUGACGCUGAGGCGCGAAAGCUAGGGUAGCAAACGGG